RNAcentral lists this ribosomal RNA (253 nucleotides) under uncultured bacterium. Its description in RNAcentral is "partial 16S ribosomal RNA". It matches the Rfam family "Bacterial small subunit ribosomal RNA", at positions 524 to 776 of the family's 1533-position model. The record is from RNAcentral.
GACAGAGGGUGCAAACGUUGCUCGGAAUUACUGGGCGUAAAGCGCGUGUAGGCGGUUUGGGAAGUCGGAUGUGAAAGCCCCGGGCUCAACCCGGGAAGUGCACUCGAUACUGCCAAGCUAGAGUGUCGGAGAGGUUGGUGGAAUUCUCGGUGUAGAGGUGAAAUUCGUAGAUAUCGAGAGGAACACCGGUGGCGAAGGCGGCCAACUGGACGAACACUGACGCUGAGACUCGAAAGCGUGGGGAGCAAACAGG